UUUUCUUCUCUUAUAUCUCCUCCAACCUCUCUAUAAAACACCAUAACAGUGUAUGUAAUUCCAUCCAUCGGAAUCAAUCAAUUAAACACCAUUAUGUGAAGUGGAAGAAUCAUAAUAUGAAGUCGUAUACCUUCAACAUAAGGAUAUCAUCUUCUCCAAGUAAGUAUUAUUUUAUUAAUCUAGGGUUCUUCAUAUUUAUUCAUGUUUAUGCAUAAAUUGAUCUUACAUGUGUUAUCAAAGCGUGGUUUAAUUUUAGAUUAUCAAGUCGUUAUUUCAGAUUUGAAGUGUUGUUUGAUAAUAGUCGCAUGCCCUAAUUGAAGUAACGAUCCCAUGUUCUCUUGAAAUCGUAAUUUUGAAACCUGUAUCCAUUUUAGUGUUUGAACUCUAACGAUUUUAUUAUAAUUACUUAUUAAAAGGAAAAUUUGCAAAUCCAUUUUGGCGUUUGUUUUUUUAGAGAAAGUGAUUUAAUAGUCACACAUGAAUUUUAGUUUUUAGAUUCAUUUGAUGAAUGAUUUACUGCAUCAACUCAUAUAAACUAUCAUGUUUAAUGCCUACAACCUUUGAAAUUUCAAACUGAAAUUCAUAUGUCCAUUACUUAAUUUGUAAUGUUUCAUUGAUGCAUGCUUUAUUAAAAUUAAACCAAAUGCCAAAUAGCUAUGAUUUUGGAGCAAAGUCUAGUACGUUUUGUGAAGGAUAUCCCUCAUGAACAAAAUCUCUUGUGAAAAAUCAUUUUAAAUGGUAUAUGUUGUGGAUAAGUAAUGGGAUCAUAUAGUUAUUUGUCAUUAUCAUAAAAUUUAGAUAUUUUAGUUGGCAUCUAAUUGAAUAUUUCUUGCCGUCAUGAAGUUGUACUUUAUCUAUUCCAAAUUCAAAAUAAUUCGUUAUUUAUCAAGCGAAACUUUAUGUUACUAAUAAUCAUACAGUAUUGUCCUUAAGCAUGAACUGAAGACCACUAUAUGAUGCAAUUUAAAUUUAUUAUCAUAUUAUGCUUAAUAGGUAACCACAUGAUUUUGUUUGCGACUUCAUUUGUAUGUCGACGAGUGGUAUCUUUAAUGUCAAGCUUAAGUCACCGGACCAAAGAAAGGUUACAUAAGUUGACAUUAGAGUUUAUUAAACACCACAUUAUGCAACUGUGUGAGUUGUUAUUCAAAGAAUCUAAAGGCUAAUUGAAUAAUAAGUUAUGCAGUGAAAUUUCAAGCAUAAGAUGCAUGAAUGUUGUAUUUUUGCCCAAAGGUGAUUACAAUAUUUGUGUAGCAUAGUAUGAUUUUUGUACGCCAUUAUUUCCGGUUGUUGGUCUAGCCAAAGCAAAACUGAUAAUUGGUAGGGUAUCUAUAAAACCCAUUAUUUUGGUGUUAAUAAUAAACAUAUUGGUAUGUUUUAUCAUGCUAUCCCAUGAAAUGACUUUAUUUAAAAAAAAAAAAAGGUGAUAAGGAUAUUUCUAAUAAGGUCCAAAAUAUGGGUACUGUAAAUUUUGUUGCAAAUAUUGUCAUUACAAGGCCGUACCUAAUGAAUUUUUUUAGCUUGCAAGCAAAUGUGGAUUAUAUGCAUUUAUGAUUUAUAAGUUCAAUUGUACGGAUGUUUGUUUUUUUAUUACAUGAUUCCAUACAAUCCGAAAGUUGGAUUGAACUUAAGGAACAAUUAAUGUUGGGAAUGAUGAAGACUUGAACAUAGAAACACUUCACCUCACAAAUUAUUUUUCAUGUUUUUUUUAAAGUGGUUAUUCUUUAUGUCUUAAAGACACCAUUUAAUGUAUCAAGUUUAACUUGAAACUAAUUAUUUGUAUCUAAGUUAGCGUAUGAUGACUAUACUUUUAUGAUUGGAUACAAUAAUGUAACUGUUAGUUUCAAUUCCCAUAUUGUUGGUUAUGGUUGUUUGGAGGAAUACCUCUAUUAGUUACAAUUAAACAACCAUUUUAUGGAACCUUUAAUAUCGUUUAAUAUUGACGAGAACUUAAAUUGAGAAGUUUGAGACUUUAUCCACAUUGUGACAUUAAGGCUUAGGUCACAAAUCACAAUAUAGGAUGAUACGUGUCGUAAAAUGUUCUAUUGUAACUUGACUUCUCAUGAUUCAAUAAAUGCAUCACUUGUAUCCAAAGGAAUAAAUAAGGAUCUACAAGAUGCUCAAUUUACAAAAGCUUAUUAAUAUUAACCUCUGUAGAUCUUGACAAAGGUAUGUGGUCAAAAAUCACAUAUAACUUUUAUUGAUUAUUAUUCUUGAUGCAUGUAUCCGUACUUGAUGAAUGGAAAAUCUAAAUCUCUUCAAAUGUUUAAAAUGCUUGACGCCAAAGUUGAAAAUCAACUUGUCCAUAAAUUAUAAGCAUUCAGAUUAGAUAUAAGUGUCAUAUAUUAUAUGGUAAGCAUACAAAACUUGGAAACGGACCCCAAUCUUUCUUUGAAUUUUGUAAAGAUCAUGGGCUAAUUAACCAAUACCCCAUGUCGCGUACUCCUCAUUAAAGAAUGAUGUUGAGAAGAGGAUUAGAAACCUAAUGGACAGGGUGAAAAGUAUGCUUGUAAACACCAAGUUGCCCUAAUUUUGGACCUAGGCAAAACGGCAAUCCACAUCUUAAACAAAGUUCAUUUACAGUCUGUUCUUAAAAUUCCUUUUGAGUUUUUGACAGGAAGAAUACAAGAUUUAGGUAUUUAAGGGUGUGGAUGUACGGUCGAAACAAAAAUCUACAAUCCUGAAUCACAUAAACAUGAAAAUUGUAAGUUGUUUCUUCAUCAGCUAUCCUAAAAUCGUUAAAGGUUACCGACUUUUGUUCCAUCACAUAGUACCAUAAAGAAAUGAAGCAUGUAGGAUUUUUUAUGAAUGCCAAAAUCAGUGGGAGUGGUUUAUUGAGGGAUUGUGACCUUCAAGAACCUUCAAUUAUAAUUCAAGUGCCCAUUACUAUUAACACUUCAUUAGAAGAAUCUAGUUUUGCCUCAUAGAAAGCCUUUUCAAAUGCAUGGGUAAAUGAAACACCAUAAAAGAUCUCACUCAAUAUGUUGGCAUUAAAAACCCAUGAAAUAGCAUAUACAACUUCUUUUAUGAUGUAACCGACUCAUAAACUUUGACGAUUACAUGAGAUCGAUCUUGACAAAGGGAAGGAAAUAACCCUGUCAUGGAGAGUGAUGCCAUAACUUGUGAUCAAUCAACUAAGCAUAAUAAAUCUUUGAUUGAAGACCUUAAUUUAAUGUAAACGAAUGAUGUUUGGGAACAUGCCAAAUUACCAAAGGAUUUUCAAACCCAUAAGAUGCAAGUAGGUCUUUAAGACCAAAUUGGACCCCAAUGAUGAACAUUGAAUGCCAUAAAGUUCGUUUGGUCACUAAAAGGUAUUCACAAAAUAGGGUAUUUAUUACCAAGAAACAUUCUCAAUUUUUUCUCGAAUUGACUUCCUUAGGAUCAUAAUGGCUCUAUUAUUUCAUUUGGAUUUAGAGAUACAUCAAAUAGAUGUCAAACAAUUUUCUUAACUAAGAGUUACACAAUGAUGUUUACAUAACCCAUACAAAUAAUUACAUUUAUAAGGUUUAAGAACAUCUUAUGUGUAAACUCAAGGAACCAAUAUACAUACAGAAUCAAGCUUCAUGUCGAUGCUAUCUAAUGUUCGACAAAGUGAUGAACAAUAAAUGACUUCAUUAAGAACCAUAUGGAUCAGUGUAUAUACCUCAACAUCAGUGGGAGGGACUUUAUCAUACUCAUACUAUAUGGAGAUGACAUUAUCUUGUCGGGUAAUAACAAUGAUAUGUUGCACAAAUCGAAACAGUUAUUGUCACAUCACCUCGAUAUGAAGGAUCUCGAUGAAGCCUAAUAUGCAAUAGGCAUAUAAAUGCAUUGAGGAAUCCAAAGAGCUUUAUACAUGUCCCUAAAUACAUAUAUUGAGUGUGUAGUAAGUCGAUAUAGAAUGCAACAAUACUUCCCUUCAAUUCCUUCCAUAGUUAAGGUACACAAUUUUGGUGGCAUGCUUAGCCGUUAUCAUUAAAUCAUGGUCUAAAUCACUAGGAAGCUCUCAAUGAAGUUUUCUAAUAUUUUCAUGGGACUAAUAAUGACGAACUUGUUUAGUGAAAUAAGUAAUAACAUAUAAGUGAUAUGUUUCUUGGAUAUGACUUUACAAAAUGCAAAGAUAAGUAGUCAUACUAGGAUACAUUGGUAUACUAUUAGUCGGCCAAUAUCAUGGGAGAGUCAUAAAUAAAAGUUGACGACUAUAUCAACUAUGAUGGAGAAAUUUGAUUUCAUAGAUAAUGAAACAUUCCAUGAAAUGUUGUUGAGAAAUUAAAUCACAUGACUCAUGAUCAUAAACUCCAGUUACAGGCCAUUAAAAGAAAACGUAUUUCUAUAAUGUCGCCUCUAUAAGUUUUCCAUUAGAAAUAAUUAUAAUGGAAUGAGGCUUUACCUCGAUACAAAAUAUUUGUUCGUUAAUAAAAACUGGGGGAAAUAUUAUUUGUAUCAAAUACAUUAACACUAAUAAUAUGCUAGCGGAUCUGAUAAAGAAAGGUGUACCACCCAAUUAUUUGAACAUGUUGUCAAUAUGGGUUUAAGGAUACACGUAUUACUAUGUUAUUCUAGCAUAGUGAAUUAAUGGAACUUUUAAUUUUAUUUAUUCAAGUACUUGAUUAUUAUUCCUCCAUAAUAUGCAAUUUGUCUAUAUUAAUAACUUAUGCACAAUUAUGUUUUAUAAAGACAAAUAUAAUGCAUGACCACUUAAAUCUAAAGUCAUUUGGCUUAAAUUAAUCUUAAGUUUCAUAUGAAGUAUCAUAGUAUGAUCGGUGGGGGUCCCGUAUCUAAAAUGGAUGCGAAAGGCCGUACUUUUCUGCUUUUGAUAUUAAUAUGAAACAUGAUGAAAUUAUGUUGGCCAAAUAAUGAAACAUGUAUACAAAUAGUCACUCGGCCAAGUGGGAGAAUAUUGAAAACAACACAUUAGUAUGGCCUUAGGACUAUUUUGUAAUAUCCAUUACAUGUUACGUACAUUUAUAUCAAGUAUUAUAAUGUUUGCCAUAAUGACAUAUCAGGUCCCUAGGAUUAAUUAUAUGUAGUAUGAUGGAUAUGACAUUUAUCCAUAACUUGAGGGACCAAAAUUGUGUGGUUCUAAUACUUUCUCAUAAGGUGUAAUUGAUUAAUUGAACACACAUUUAAUAGAGGAAACGUUUGAAGGGAUUACGUUUUUUCUUCUCUUAUAUCUCCUCCAAUCUCUCUAUAAAACACCAUAAGAGUGUAUGUAAUUCCAUCCAUCGGAAUCAAUCAAUUAGACACCAUUAUGUGAAGUGGAAGAAUCAUAAUAUGAAGUUGUAUAGCUUCAACAUACGGAUAUCAUCUUCUCCAAGUAAGUAAUAUUUUAUUAAUCUAGGGUUCUUCAUAUUUAUUCAUGUUUAUGCAUAAAUUGAUCUUGGUUUAUACCUAUUAAUCUUACAUAUGGUACAAGUGGAUAACGGAAAAAGGUAAAAGUAUAAAGAAAAUGAAAGGUGUAAAUUUUACAUAAAAUGGUGAAGUAGCCAACUUUGAGGCUACAAAAUCUUGUCAAGGAAAAGGGAAGGAUGAAGAGGUAAUUUGUAGUGAACAUAAUAUGGAAAUGAAAUAUAAAAGAAUAAACCAAUCCCAUGCAAGGAUGAUCAAGUUAUGACCUUGUAAAGUUGGAAGAAAAUUUGUACAAAUUGAUGAGAAAUUGCAUAAUUUCGAAGAGGUCAUGUUUGCAGCCUUAUAACAUGAAAAUUAAAUUAAUGAAAGGUAAGUUCCAAAAUGAAAGUCAAAGUUUAUACAAAGAAGAGUACAUAUGGAAAAGUUUCAAGUCAGAUAAAUAAUGAAAAAGAUAUGUAAUUAAAAUCAACAUGUUCAAACAUAGAAAAUAAUGAAGAUUGAGUGAACCUUUAUGUUUACGACUAUAUAACUCGAAACUUAGAAGCAUUCAACAAAAUAUAUGUUCAUGAAAAUUGUAUUAUUCAUGACAAGAUUCUGGCAAAUAAAAGAUUCAUGACAAAACUGCACAAAUGGUCUCUGUGGUUACCUGAAAAUUGUCACUUUGGUCCAAAAAAAUUUGGACUAGCACCAGAGGUCCAAACUUUUCAUUUUGUUGCGAGUUUUGUUCGAUUUGCUUUGAAUUUUUUUAUAAAGACGAUUUUGCCCUUGGUUUUUUCUUUUUUUAGUUUUUUAUUUAUUUAAAUGUUUUUCAGAUAAAAAGAAAAUUUUUUAAAAAUUAGAAAAGCCUAACCUCUCUCUCUCUCUCUCUACAAUUGUUCAAGAAAAACAGAUACAAUAAAAAGCACAUUCCUUUUUUCCCUUGGUCUUCCUGCCUGCAACUCAAACCCACCAACAAUCUUUCUAUUUUGGAAGAAAUCAAUUUGUGGGCUACAUCUUCUCCAGCCCAACACAAACUAAACUUGCAUUCUGUUGUCGUAUCUCCGUCCGAUCUACCAUCUGCCCAUCGAUCGGCUCCACCCCUUUUCCUCUUACCGGCAGAUCAACUCGGAUUGACUUCCACCUCUACCCACAAACCUUCGAUUGCAGAGUAGAAAGCUUCUUUCUCUGUUCAAAGUGAGUCACGAAGAUCAGUUUGAAGUUCAAAUUGGAGAUAUUGAUACUCAAAUCUUCAAGAAGCUUCAUCGGGUUACCAUUAUGCCCCUCACCGUGAAUAUGUUGAACUAUUGUUUGAUUUAUUUGAACCCUAACUCUGCACCAUUGUUUGAUUUAUGAACCCUAUCUUUGUAUGUGUAUCUGGAUUUGUGUGUACUAUUGUAGCUCGGUGGUAAUUUAUAGAUACAUCCAUCAGAUUUAACCAUCUUGAAUCUUCAAAACAUGACAAAGAAGCAGCGGAGGAAGAUUGUGAUCUAUCUAUUCCUCUCGUAUCUCUCUCGUCUUGCAUAACCAACAAAGAUCUAAUACCAGCAAAUUCAAGCAACAAGCUCAAUGAUUCUCCUGCUUUAAUGAUGAAAAAGUCCAAACACAACCACCAACAACACCAAAUCUCCCCUGAAUGAUGAACCAGUUAUGAGAUGAUGCAACCCAUUUAGAUUCACCCCCAAAACCCAUCAAGGAAUUGAUAGAUUUUGGGGAGACCCAGAUGGACCCGACAAAGGAAGAAAUCUAAUUCCAUGGUUUGUGGUUUCAGGUGAAGCUCUUGGUGGUGUGGUGUGGGCGAUGGAAGUGGUGAGUAGUUUUGCAGGUCUCGAUGGUUUUGAGGAAUGGAUGAGCGGGAGUCGUAUCUUUGGAGGUUCACCAAAAGAAGCUUGACAUGAGAUCUGGGUUUUGUCGGAAAAAGCUUGAAAUGAGAUCUGGUGUUGUGUUGGUUCUGAUGGAAAAUUCUUUUAUAAAUUUGAUGUUCUUGAUGAAUUUUUGGGG
This 7302-nucleotide long non-coding RNA is filed under the name Lactuca sativa (garden lettuce). Its description in RNAcentral is "long non-coding RNA (LSAT_LNC008375)". The record is from RNAcentral. Lineage: Eukaryota; Viridiplantae; Streptophyta; Magnoliopsida; Asterales; Asteraceae.